Molecule: ribosomal RNA, 253 nt
Filed under: uncultured bacterium
Lineage: Bacteria
Description: partial 16S ribosomal RNA
Rfam family: Bacterial small subunit ribosomal RNA
Source: RNAcentral
UACGGGGGGGGCAAGCGUUGUUCGGAAUUACUGGGCGUAAAGGGCUUGUAGGUGGCCAACUAAGUCAGACGUGAAAUCCCUCGGCUUAACCGGGGAACUGCGUCUGAUACUGGAUGGCUUGAGUGUGGGAGAGGGAUGCGGAAUUCCAGGUGUAGCGGUGAAAUGCGUAGAUAUCUGGAGGAACACCGGUGGCGAAGGCGGCGUUCUGGACUGCAACUGACACUGAGGAACGAAAGCCAGGGGAGCAAACGGG